This 463-nucleotide long non-coding RNA is filed under the name Dromaius novaehollandiae (emu). Its description in RNAcentral is "lncRNA (ENSDNVG00000011385.1)". Lineage: Eukaryota; Metazoa; Chordata; Aves; Casuariiformes; Dromaiidae. The record is from RNAcentral.
GGCCGCCGGCGGUGAGGUGGUCGCGAGGCGACGUCCGGCACGGCGGGACGAGCAUUACGUUGCCGAAGCCUCGGAGCGUUCCUGUGGAGGCGCAGUGCGAGAUGGGAGGUUUUCCGAGCUGCUGGUUCAUCUGAGGACGUACAACCUGAUACCGGUAUGUGUGUGGCCUGCGCUUGUUUAAAAAAGAUUUUGCAUUCCAUUUAGCACGGAGCAGUGUUCUUAGCUCUCAGUGUACACUUGCAGUAGAUGGCAGCCUUGUAGCAUGUCUGCAAGAAGCUUUUCAAUAAUGUUUCUUUUCUUAAAGCUGCUUCCUUUAAUUUCUGUCUCAGGUAAGUCUUGUCAGGGACAAGCAUGCACUGAGCUGCGGCUGUCCAGUCAGACAAACUCAGAGGUGCUUGAAGACUUCUCUGAAGGCUGUGAUGACCCUAAGAAGAGAGCACUGAGGAUUGUCUGCUUAUUCUGA